This 1242-nucleotide long non-coding RNA is filed under the name Triticum aestivum (bread wheat). RNAcentral's name for it is "long non-coding RNA (TAES_LNC009232)". Lineage: Eukaryota; Viridiplantae; Streptophyta; Magnoliopsida; Poales; Poaceae. The record is from RNAcentral.
UUCGUUACGAGCUUGUACACAGGCUUCUAAAGCCACUCGAUUAGCUGCUGCACCAGGUGCAUUUCCCCAAGGAUGUCCUAAAGUUCCUCCACCAAAUUGUAAUACAGAAUCGUCCCCAAAGAUUUCGGUCAGAGCUGGCAUAUGCCAAACAUGAAUACCACCUGAAGCUACCGGUAUAACACCUGGCAUGGAUACCCAGUCCUGAGUGAAAAAGAUACCGCGAGCACGAUCUUUUUCAAUAAAAUCAUCGCGUAAUAAAUCAACAAAACCUAAAGUCAUUUCGCGUUCCCCUUCUAACUUACCUACUACUGUACCAGAGUGGAUAUGAUCUCCCCCAGACAUACGCAAUGCUUUAGCUAAUACACGGAAAUGCAUACCAUGAUUUUUCUGUCUAUCAAUAACUGCAUGCAUUGCACGGUGAAUGUGAAGAAGUAGGCCAUUGGCGCGGCAAUAAUGAGCCAAAGUAGUAUUUGCGGUGAAUCCCCCAGUUAAGUAGUCAUGCAUUACAAUAGGAACCCCUAAUUCUCUUGCAAAUACAGCUCUCUUAAUCAUUUCUUCACAUGUACCCGCAGUCGCAUUCAAGUAAUGCCCCUUGAUUUCACCGGUUUCGGCCUGUGAUUUAUAAAUAGCUUUGGCACAAAAGACAAAACGGUCUCUCCAGCGCAUAAAUGGUUGUGAGUUUACGUUUUCAUCAUCUUUGGUAAAAUCAAGUCCACCAUGUAGACACUCAUAACACGCUCUACCAUAAUUUUUUGCGGAUAAUCCCAAUUUUGGUUUAAUAGUACAUCCCAAUAAAGGACGACCAUACUUGUUCAACUUAUCUCUUUCAACUUGGAUACCAUGAGGCGGGCCUUGGAAUUUUUUUGAAUAAGUAGGGGGAAUUCGUAGAUCCUCCAAACGUAGAGUACAUAGGGCUUUGAAACCAAAUACGUUACCUACAAUGGAAGUAAACAUGUUAGUAACGGAACCCUCUUCAAAUAGGUCUAAUGGAUAAGCUACAUAACAGAUCCAUUGGUUGUCUUCCCCAGCAACAGGCUCGAUGUGAUAGCAUCGUCCUUUGUAACGAUCAAGACUGGUAAGUCCAUCAGUCCAAACAGUUGUCCAUGUACCAGUAGAAGAUUCGGCAGCUACUGCAGCCCCUGCUUCUUCGGGCGGAACCCCAGGCUGAGGACUUACUCGGAAUGCUGCCAAGAUAUCAGUAUCCUUAGUUUCAUACUCUGGGGUGUAGUAAGUCAAUUUAUA